GACGAACGCUGGCGGCGUGCUUAACACAUGCAAGUCGAACGGAAAGGCCCUGCUUUUGUGGGGUGCUCGAGUGGCGAACGGGUGAGUAACACGUGAGUAACCUGCCCUUGACUUUGGGAUAACUUCAGGAAACUGGGGCUAAUACCGGAUAGGAGCUCCUGCUGCAUGGUGGGGGUUGGAAAGUUUCGGCGGUUGGGGAUGGACUCGCGGCAUAUCAGCUUGUUGGUGGGGUAGUGGCUUACCAAGGCUUUGACGGGUAGCCGGCCUGAGAGGGUGACCGGCCACAUUGGGACUGAGAUACGGCCCAGACUCCUACGGGAGGCAGCAGUGGGGAAUAUUGCACAAUGGGCGGAAGCCUGAUGCAGCAACGCCGCGUGCGGGAUGACGGCCUUCGGGUUGUAAACCGCUUUCGCCUGUGACGAAGCGUGAGUGGCGGUAAUGGGUAAAGAAGCACCGGCUAACUACGUG
RNAcentral lists this ribosomal RNA (468 nucleotides) under uncultured bacterium. Its description in RNAcentral is "partial 16S ribosomal RNA". It matches the Rfam family "Bacterial small subunit ribosomal RNA", at positions 28 to 507 of the family's 1533-position model. The record is from RNAcentral.